RNAcentral lists this transfer RNA (73 nucleotides) under Phrynosoma platyrhinos (Desert horned lizard). Its description in RNAcentral is "tRNA-OTHER". Lineage: Eukaryota; Metazoa; Chordata; Lepidosauria; Squamata; Phrynosomatidae. The record is from RNAcentral.
GCUUGCAUGGUGUAGUGGUUUGAAUGUUGGACUAGGACUCCAGGAGACCAGGGUUCAAAUCCCCACUUAACCA